UUUUUAUGGGUUGCGAAGUCGCGAGGCGGAGCUAAUCCCCAAAAGCCAUCUCAGUUCGGAUUGCACUCUGCAACUCGAGUGCAUGAAGUCGGAAUCGCUAGUAAUCGCGGAUCAGCAUGCCGCGGUGAAUACGUUCUCGGGCCUUGUACACACCGCCCGUCACACCAUGGGAGUUGGUUUUGCCUGAAGACGGUGUGCUAACCGCAAGGAGGCAGCCGGCCACGGUAGGGUCAGCGACUGGGGUGAAGUCGUAACAAGGUAGCCGUAGGGGAACCUGCGGCUGGAUCACCUCCUUUCUAAGGAAGAUGUUGAGUAUCAUUGAAUUUAUUGAGUGAUCUGAACGUUUUUUGAAGAUUAAAGCUUUUAAUUAAGCUUGAUAUAAAUUUGCUGUUGUGAAGCAGCGUUUUUAAAAGGAUCGCCGUCCAUGUUUCUCUUUCUUUUCGGAUUUUUUGCGAUGAUGGGGGGUCGUUAAUAUUUGGUUUUGAGGGCCCGUAGCUCAGGUGGUUAGAGUGCACCCCUGAUAAGGGUGAGGUCGGUAGUUCAAAUCUACCUGGGCCCACCACUUUUUGUUCAGGGGGCCGUAGCUCAGUCGGUAGAGCGCCUGCUUUGCAAGCAGGAUGCCAGCGGUUCGAUUCCGCUCGGCUCCACCAUUGGCGUAAUUAUGGAAUUUUGUUCUGAUUUUUUGGAGCAAGAGUUUUUUGAAAAUUGAAUAGAAGAUAUAUUUUUUUGUAUUUUUUAUGUUGGCAUUGUAUGCGACAUUUAAGAUACCGGCGUUGUUAACCGCACGUUGAGAAUUUAUCUCAGGAAAUUGGUCUAUUGAAGAAGCAUAAGGAUAUUAUGUUUUUUUAAUUAUCAAGAGUUUGCAAAGAACUUUAUGACGAUUGACAAUGAGAGUAAUCAGGCGCGAGAAAAGGCGGAAAA
Molecule: unclassified non-coding RNA, 921 nt
Filed under: Candidatus Liberibacter asiaticus
Lineage: Bacteria; Pseudomonadati; Pseudomonadota; Alphaproteobacteria; Hyphomicrobiales; Rhizobiaceae
Description: partial contains 16S ribosomal RNA, 16S-23S ribosomal RNA intergenic spacer, and 23S ribosomal RNA
Rfam family: Bacterial small subunit ribosomal RNA (bases 1-296)
Source: RNAcentral